GGUUUCUCUGUGUAGCUUUGGAACCUGUCCUGGAACUCACUCUGUAGACCAGGCUGGCCUCGAACUCACAGAAAUUCACCUGCCUCUGCCUCCCAAGUGCUGGGAUUAAAGGUAUGUGCCACCAAUGCCCG
MicroRNA precursor from Cricetulus griseus (Chinese hamster), 131 nucleotides. NCBI's taxonomy places the organism in Eukaryota, Metazoa, Chordata, Mammalia, Rodentia, Cricetidae. The record is from Ensembl.